GCAGUCGAGCGAACGGACGAGAAGCUUGCUUCUCUGAUGUUAGCGGCGGAGGGGGAGUAACACGUGGAUAACCUACCUAUAAGACUGGGAUAACUUCGGGAAACCGGAGCUAAUACCGGAUAAUAUUUUGAACCGCAUGGUUCAAAAGUGAAAGACGGUCUUGCUGUCACUUAUAGAUGGAUCCGCGCUGCAUUAGCUAGUUGGUAAGGUAACGGCUUACCAAGGCAACGAUGCAUAGCCGACCUGAGAGGGUGAUCGGCCACACUGGAACUGAGACACGGUCCAGACUCCUACGGGAGGCAGCAGUAGGGAAUCUUCCGCAAUGGGCGAAAGCCUGACGGAGCAACGCCGCGUGAGUGAUGAAGGUCUUCGGAUCGUAAAACUCUGUUAUUAGGGAAGAACAUAUGUGUAAGUAACUGUGCACAUCUUGACGGUACCUAAUCAGAAAGCCACGGCUAACUACGUGCCAGCAGCCGCGGUAAUACGUAGGUGGCAAGCGUUAUCCGGAAUUAUUGGGCGUAAAGCGCGCGUAGGCGGUUUUUUAAGUCUGAUGUGAAAGCCCACGGCUCAACCGUGGAGGGUCAUUGGAAACUGGAAAACUUGAGUGCAGAAGAGGAAAGUGGAAUUCCAUGUGUAGCGGUGAAAUGCGCAGAGAUAUGGAGGAACACCAGUGGCGAAAGGCGACUUUCUGGUCUGUAACUGACGCUGAUGUGCGAAAGCGUGGGGAUCAAACAGGAUUAGAUACCCUGGGUAGUCCACGCCGUAAACGAUGAGUGCUAAGUGUUAGGGGGUUUCCGCCCCCUUUAGUGCUGCAGCUAACGCAUAAGCACU
This 831-nucleotide ribosomal RNA is filed under the name Staphylococcus aureus. RNAcentral's name for it is "bacterial SSU rRNA". It matches the Rfam family "Bacterial small subunit ribosomal RNA", at positions 57 to 868 of the family's 1533-position model. Lineage: Bacteria; Bacillati; Bacillota; Bacilli; Caryophanales; Staphylococcaceae. The record is from RNAcentral.